UAUUCAUUUAUUGUAUGUGAAGACAUUGUUCUGGGUAUGACUUGAAUGGUGUAGACUUGGCCAAGUAUGUCAUGUGAGAUUGGCAUGAGUAAGUCGCAGUUUUGUAGUGUGUAGUCUUUUGUUUAUAUGAGGGACACUUCAACUAAUUGGAACAUUUGGAGAUAGAGAGGGAGAAAAGAAAAAAAGUGUGCAUUAAGUUUGAUUAUAAAAGGAAUAUGACAUAAUAGGCAUGGAAUACAUGAGAUGGAAUUUAAAUUGUUGAUCUGGUAUGCAAUUUCCAUCAAUAGAGCAAAAUAUCAACCAGUGUAUGAGAGUACAUGGGAGUUAUCCAUGCAUUCUACCAAUGUUUAAAUUUUUGAACACUUACAUGAUAAAAUAAAACAAUUAAAUAAAUACACUAAGUAUAUUUAUAUGCAUCCAUCCAUAACACCUACAUGUAUGGAUUCAAAUGUCAUAAAAUAAAAGUAAAGAAACAAUUGAAGAACCAUUUCUAACAAUGUUACAUAUAAGAACAAGUGUGUUUGUUCUUUAGAUCUUUUGAAGUUUGGCAUGAUAUAAGAAUGACGAGUUUUUAAUCAUGGUAACAAAAAUACUGUUUACAAUUGAUUUCAAAACAAUAAUACAGACAAACCCUAAAAAUAACCAUGGCCUUCCAUUCAUGUGGCUCCACAGAUUCAUGUGCUUGAGAAGCUGGGAAUGGGCAGGAAUUGGCAGCCUUUGAGCCUCAAAAGGGGCAUGGCUUCCACAAAGAGUCCAAAAUUAGGUUUUCUAACUCAAUUGGUUUGCCAAGUGUAAGGUCCCCAAUCUCCUUAAAUAUGCAAAGAUUUUAAAAAUGAAAUAAAAAUGAUGCUCACUAUGUAACACCAGAAUUCCAUCCAUAUUGACCCAAACGGAUUUCUGUAUAUAUAUAUAUAUAUAUAUCUAUACACAUUAACGAAUAGAGAAAGGGAGACUCAUGUCGCCAAUUCUGCCAAAGCAGGCCACAAGUGCUGACGUGGAUUUCAGUCUUGUGCUUUUGCAGGCUGUCUGCAUGAACAGGCUUUGUUUGUGAUUUUUUUUUGUUAGUUUGUUUGUCCUUCACAAGUGCAGAUGCAGCCAUCUCUGAAGUGCCCAUGUUUUUAUAGCCAGUAAUAUAUUUUUCCAAAAGGGCAUGUUCUCUGUCCAUUUGUUGCCUUGAUAUUGCAUACACAAAACUAAGCUAUAAAAAUAAAAUAAUAAAAUAGUAGAAUAAAAACAGACAAAAAAUAAAGUAGGGCAUCACAACCUCCCAGGCCAUGUGAGUCAAUUCCAACAACUGACGGCUGAACAUGAGAAAAAAAAAGAAAAAAAAAGAAACCCUAAAAGGUACAAUGACAGAGGAAGUGUGAAGUAUCUUUCAUUAUACCCCCCCCCCUUUCCUCUAAAGAUCUAUGGUCUAAUACUUGUGUUUAUAUAUAUAUAUAUAUAUAUAUAUGAAUAAAUAAAUAUAAUGUAUAAUAUAUUGUGCAUGGGUAUGGACGUGCAACAAAUCAUUGGCUCCAUUCUCCCAUGUAAAUUCCACCAUUAGUUUUGUACACAUGAUUAUAUGCAAAACACACAUGUGACAAAGGCAUGCAUUUGGUUUGUAUUAAUUCUAUUUAUUUCCAUGGUUCUUAUGUUGACCUCCAUUGGCCCUCAUGCACACAAUCAGUAAGGAAAAUGGUAUCCCAUGAAGAAUAUUCCUAAUGGUCCAAUUCUCUUAUGCAAAUUAUGCUUUGCUUUCAAUUUGCUUUCAGGGUUGCCAUGUGGCAUAUGAUGCAAAUAUUUCAUUCUCAUUCCUUGUCUUAUUUGCUUUUUUGGGUGGGCCUUGUUUGAUGGUCAAAUGCUUUGUGAUAGAGUUUUAUUGAAAAUGGGUGUUGAAGUGAACAUGCUCUUUUUGUCUUUCAACGAAAUAUACUUUCUUAUGAGAAAUUGGUGUCCUAACAAAAUUGUAAGUGUGAGUGUCUUAGUAUAAACCCAAAUGUUUGUUUAAUAAGUUUUUUAAAACAGAGUUUUACUUCUGUAAGUUAUGGCUAUAAAAAUAUAAAAACAAACAAACAAACAAAAUUCUGGCAAUACAGAAUAUUACAACUGAUUAUUUUGUAAUUUUAUGAUUAUGGCUUAUUAUUUUGCUCAUUCUUACAAGAAAUAAGAUGUGAAUGUGUGUGUCCAUGCAUGAGUGUGUGUGUAUGAAUAUAUAUAUAUAUAUAUAUAUAUAUUCAUGCACAUACAUGUAAGUUUUGAAAUAUUAUAAUUCAUAUAAGUUAUACUUUAAGUAAAUAUUAUAAUUCAUAUAAGUUAUACUUUAAGUAAAUAUUAUAAUUCAUAUAAGUUAUAGUUUAAGUAAAUUUUAGUUGAUAAUUUCUUCCUAUACCAAUUCUUUGAAUUCAUAAAAAGCUGCAAAUGAUAAGGAUACACCUAGCAUUUUAAGAGAAAAAUUAUAUAUAUAUAUAUAUAUAUAUAUAUACACACACACACAGGAGAAUGUUUAAAUAGACCCAUGCUUUUAGUAAAUAGUCCAUCUCUUGAUGAAGAAUGUGGUAAGCAUGAUGAAUAUGGUUGGUUUAUAUUGGUUGCAGAUCCAAUAGUGGAGAAAUGAAUCUAUUUCUUUCUUUAUUAUUAUUAUUAAUAUUAUUAUCUUCAUGAUGGUUAGAAUGGAUGGGUCAGUUUAGUAGCAACUUAGGUCUAUUUUAACAUUUUCCUAUAUAUGAAUAUAUUUAUGUAUAUAUAUACAAAUACAUGUAUACACACAUCCACAAUUCUCAAAGAAGUGUUGUUUCAAAGUCAAGAAACACUACCUUCCAAUUUGAGAUUUGGAUUUGAUGAUUUUGAAUGUACUUUGAAAUGGUAUUAACCAACUAAAACAGAGUUGGUUAUAUGUACAUUCUCCCAUGCAAAUGUAUUUUUUUAAUAACUUUUCAAUAUACUUCCAUUCUUCUUCUUAUUAGUAUUACUACUACUACUAUUACCUACUCCAGAGAAUAAAUCAUACAUUAUUUUUAUUUACAAACAUUCACGUGGUAUUGCACAGAAAAACAAAGAAUGCCAUGCUGGCACACAAGCAAUUGUGGGACUUAUUGCAAAAAGCUUUCGAAUUGCUGAUUCAUGGGUCUCACAUCAACUGAAUCUUUGCCUUUUUUGGACUCUAAGCAUGCAACACAACUCCAGCAUUUGGUUGAAGAUCUUUGUGAAAAGAAUUCAAUUGUGAUGAAGAAGUAAAAAUAUGUCUACUUCUUAACUUUUUUGCUAACUAAUAUUAAGAAAAAAAUUACUUAACUCUUGAGGGACCCACAUGUUGUCAUCAAUAAUUUGCUCUUUGGCCACCACAUGUGUUGGAUGUGAGUGCUCAUUUUUGCAACAACAACAACAUCAACAACAUCACAAUGCAGAAAGACAGACAGAAAUAGAGCAAUAGUUGUGUGUCACAACUCUAAUCAGCAUUUGCCUUUUUUUUUUUUUUUUUUUUUUUCAAAAUGAUUGUUUUUAUGAUUGAAUCUGUAAAUAUAAUUAGAUGCAACGUUGGAAACAAUUGAUUCUUUUUACGUUAGCAUCUUUUUGCCAUUUGAUCAUGGACCAAUCAUGCUCAUUGUACCUAAACUCAAUUGUUUUCUUAUUCUAUCACAUCAAUUUAAUAUUUGUGAUUUUCAUGUUUAAUAUAUACCAGUAUAUACUGUUUUAUCAAAUUGAAAGCAUUGUGUAAGUGUUUUUAUUUUUAUUUUUUUAUCAAGCUAAUCAAAGUACUUGAAUCAUCCAAAAGAACUUUUAAAUUCUUUACAAAUUUUGUAAAUGCAGAUAUUGAAAAAUUGAUUCAAAGAAAGAUCGCUGUCUAAUGUAACUGGGUUUAUUACAAGAAUAUAAUAUGAACAAUGAGCAGACUAAUGAUGCUUUAAUUAAAUGC
Molecule: long non-coding RNA, 3895 nt
Filed under: Physcomitrium patens
Lineage: Eukaryota; Viridiplantae; Streptophyta; Bryopsida; Funariales; Funariaceae
Description: long non-coding RNA (PPAT_LNC011068)
Source: RNAcentral